GGGCCCUUAGCUCAGUGGUCAGAGCGCCCUGCUCAUAACGGGGUGGUCGAGGGUUCGAACCCCUCAGGGCCCA
RNAcentral lists this transfer RNA (73 nucleotides) under Candidatus Halobonum tyrrellensis G22. It matches the Rfam family "tRNA". From Rfam's summary of the family: Transfer RNA (tRNA) molecules are approximately 80 nucleotides in length. Their secondary structure includes four short double-helical elements and three loops (D, anti-codon, and T loops). Further hydrogen bonds mediate the characteristic L-shaped molecular structure. tRNAs have two regions of fundamental functional importance: the anti-codon, which is responsible for specific mRNA codon recognition, and the 3' end, to which the tRNAs corresponding amino acid is attached (by aminoacyl-tRNA synthetases). tRNAs cope with the degeneracy of the genetic code in two manners: having more than one tRNA (with a specific anti-codon) for a particular amino acid; and 'wobble' base-pairing, i.e. permitting non-standard base-pairing at the 3rd anti-codon position. Lineage: Archaea; Methanobacteriati; Methanobacteriota; Halobacteria; Halobacteriales; Haloferacaceae. The record is from Rfam by way of RNAcentral.